GUGAUAAAUAGAUCACUGCGAGCUAAUGGUGCGUCUUUGCUGGAAUCUUGUACAGUGAGCAGCUUCCAGCUUGGGAACUGUGUCAGGAUAUCAGGUUUUGAUCUGCAGCACCUUGGUCUGUUAAUAGUUAGCUCCAGCCAUCUAUGAAGUGGCAAGUCAGGGACUUGAGCAGCCCCCCAGCUGAGAGCCCGGGUAAUCACCUGCAUUUAUCUUUCCCAGAAACGCAAACACGCCUCCCACCCCGCCUCUCUUAGCAAUGCAGGGUAUAGGACUGCACUGUAUUGGCACCCGAACAGAUCCCAGCAUUUCCUUACCAGUGUUUCUGAAUGGGGAUUCCCCCUGGGAAUUUGGGGAAUCCUGCAUGCAUGAAUGUCCCUGGUCAUUUGUGCCAACCUAAGUGCCUUCGCCCAUUUCCAGAUGUCUUCUUGAGAAGGGUUCCCUGCUCUGAGCCAAAACCACCAAUCCAGACCUGUCAUUUUACAGAAUUGCAGCUCGGCCCUGGACAAAGCGAAAGGGCUCAGCCACCAAGAAGUCGGCGAUGCUUUUAUUGGGGCGAGUGAGUUGACAAAUGGCCUGGCUACCUGUGAAGUCACUUUAUUUAUCAGCUGGAGCGGUUUCAGAUGGCAGCCGUUCCAUCUCUGCUCCACACCUGCAGCUUACGGACUCUGCAGUGAAUCCACGGCUGUCAACACUUCUGCUACUUUAUAGGAGGAAGAUGAGGGCAGUGGACCACUUCUGGGGGGUGGUCCCUGACCACAUCAAGCCUGUCCACCACCAGCUUGGGUCUUGGGGCUGCCUGUUGUGCAGGCCGGGGCAGCACAGGGUCAGGGUCCCUCUCUGCUGGCAUUGGGCACUACCAUCUGCAGCGUGGGGAAGGCUGAGCUUUCUUGCUGGCCCCUUGCCGGCCAUCUCUUAAAGGGCCCUUGAGAACAGAGGCCGCAUGCUCUUGUCUGGAGGGUUUUCGGAUGACUGUGGCCUGGGCCCAGGCACUGUUAGGUGUUCAAUGAUUUCAGAGCUGUCACAGGUGAGUCGGGCAGACUGAAGCCCCCUGGCCGGUGCUGAUAAACAACCAAGCUGGGAGCGCUGCCCAAGGAGGUGGACUCCUGCAGCGGUGGGCAAAGUGGCUCUCAGGAGCCGGGAGCUGGGCUGGCCAGGGGCCUGUCAGCGCUGCGGACUUUUCCUGUGCCCAUGGGCUGUGCAUGAGCAGGGGCAGCAAACCACAUGCAGUGUGAGGGCGCAGCCCAGCCCUGAGAACCCCACCCAGAGGACGCUAGGGCCAGCAGAGGAGCCGGGACACAAGACAUCCAAACUAGCUACCAUGCAAGUGGUGACAGACUAAAGAAAACAACAAAUGACCCGAUACUUGUUCCUAACAAAGAAAAGUCAAUAAAGGCACAAAACAUGUUAGCUGGCCUAAGGUACGGUGCCCACCAAUGCACAAUUUUUUUAUUUGUGCUUUUUAUAAAUGAUCCUUAAGCCAAGCGUGAUGACCCACACUUGUUUUUCGUUUUUUUUUUUUUAGAUUUCUUUUUUCUUUUUUUUUUUUUUAAUUUAAGGAGAAAAGAAAAAAAAACAGUGAAGGGGUACAAGUUAUACAGAUUUACAGAAGAAAAAAAUGCGCAGUAGGAAAUCACUAGUUAAUGGAUUACAUAUGGCCAUCUUAGAAAUAAUUGUUCAAGUCACAAAAUUAAAGCUUGUAGAGUGGACAUUCCAACAAUGAUACUGCAAACAGUUCUGUUCAAUGAUCCAAUAAAACUCUGUGAUAUCAUUUUCUAUCUUAUACACUUAAAUAUACAUGCAGUUAUAUAGUUUAGAGCACUUUCUUUUCCUCUCUUUUGUACAAAGACUAUUACACAUUUUGGGUUUCAUUGCUCCCACGGUUCUUAUUGCUUUUUUGGAAGAGAGUAAAACCAAAUGUGACAUAACAGAACAGAAUCGGUCAAGUCAAAAGGGUGGACAUAAUAGAUAAUAUAAAAACAUAAUACAAGGUGAUCAACAAUGGUUACCAUAAUGCCUCCCGCUAUUUCUAAUAGAAUUGCCUAUAUCAUUAGUUGUAAUACAAUUGAACAAAACAGUAAAGAACAAAACCGACAAAACCAAAACAUUGGAGACAUUGUAGGUCUUCAAAAGUAGAUAAAAGUCAACGAGAAUGGGCGUUAUAAUGAAUCUCAUUAUCUUCUCAGCUGAUGCCUAAACUUUCGAACCUGAUACUAUCCAGCAAAACAGAAUAGAGGAACCUCAGUCAAAAACAAGAUGGUGAGAGUAAUACAGGGCUUCAAAUUGAGAUAAUAGAAAGGAUGACCCACACUUGUAAUUUCAACUACUUGGGAAGCUGAGGCAGGAGGAUUGUAAAUUCAAGGCCAGCUUAGGCAACUUAGCAAGACCCUGUCUCAAAGUAAAAUCUUGAAGAGGCUGAUGGUGUAGCUUGGUGGUAGAGCACUCACCUAGCAUGUGCAAAGUCCUGGGUCCAAUCCCUAGAGGCAUAGUAAGAAUAAUCCUUGGGGGUUCCAAAAAGUACGUGUAGACUAGAUGUAUAAUUCAUUGAUACCGAACUUGUCUAUCAAGUAGGGGUCUGGUUUUGAUAUGCAGUACUGGCAAAAAAUAUCCUUCUAUGCUGCUGUUCAUGGCAACAUUGACCACACUGUCCAGAAGUAAAAACAACCUAUGUGUCCAUCAGCAGAGGAAUGGACUGGCCAAAUGUUGUCCAAAUGUUGUACACAUACAACAUGUACAGACAUGUACAUGACAGAUGUAUUACUCUGUCAUGAUGCUAAACUACUGAUAUGCUACUACAUGAAUUAGCGUUGAAAACAUGCUAAAUGAAGUAAGCCAGAUGCAAAAGACUGACAGGGCACAAUUCCACUCGUAUGAAGUAUCUAGGACAGUGAAAUCCAGGAAAAAAGAGUUUACUAGUAGCUGAGGUGUGGCAGUGGAGACUUAUUGACUAACUGGGUACAGUCUCUUUUGGGGCUGAUAGAAAAGUUUGAAAAUAGUGGUGUUAAUGUACACACAAUGUGAAUGUAGUUAAUGUAGUUAAUGUAGUUAAUGUAGUUAAUGCCUUUGAGUUGCACAUUUAAUGUGAUUAGCAUGAAAAAUUUGUAUUUUUAACCUGAUAGAAAAAAAUUUUUGUCUUUUUCAGACAGGAUCUCAUUACGCAGUUCAGGCUGAUCUUCAGCUCACAUUGUAGCCCAAGCCGGUCUCAACCUUGCUAUGUAUGAUUCUCCUGUACCAGCCUCCCAGAGUGCUGGGAUUACAGGCAUGUGCCACCAUGACCUGACUGGAAAAUUCAUUUUUUUAAAAUUAGAUUUUAUUGGUAUGUUUUAAAUAUAAAUAGUAAUCACAUUCAUCGUGGAGAAUUUGUACCUAUACAUGACAUAACUUGAUUUAUUUCCCUAUUCCCCUACCCUCCUGUCAACCCCCCCUCCUCUGAAAAAUUCUAACAGAGCAAAAAAUAAGUUAUCUGAACUGAAGAGAAUAAAAUGCUGGUUGCUAUGG
Molecule: long non-coding RNA, 3495 nt
Organism: Cavia porcellus (domestic guinea pig)
Lineage: Eukaryota; Metazoa; Chordata; Mammalia; Rodentia; Caviidae
Exons: 2
Source: RefSeq, a predicted model, not a curated record